ACGUAGGUGGCAAGCGUUAUCCGGAUUUACUGGGUGUAAAGGGCGUGUAGGCGGGAAAGCAAGUCAGGCGUGAAAACUCGGGGCUCAACCCCGAGCCUGCGUUUGAAACUGUUUUUCUUGAGUGAUGGAGAGGCAGGCGGAAUUCCGUGUGUAGCGGUGAAAUGCGUAGAUAUACGGAGGAACACCAGUGGCGAAGGCGGCCUGCUGGACAUUAACUGACGCUGAGGCGCGAAAGCGUGGGGAGCAAACAG
This 251-nucleotide ribosomal RNA is filed under the name uncultured bacterium. RNAcentral describes it as "partial 16S ribosomal RNA". It matches the Rfam family "Bacterial small subunit ribosomal RNA", at positions 525 to 775 of the family's 1533-position model. The record is from RNAcentral.